This 1319-nucleotide long non-coding RNA is filed under the name Numida meleagris (helmeted guineafowl). RNAcentral describes it as "lncRNA (ENSNMEG00000019681.1)". Lineage: Eukaryota; Metazoa; Chordata; Aves; Galliformes; Numididae. The record is from RNAcentral.
AAAAGAGAUCUGCAUCAUUUGAAGCAAAUUUCAUGAAACAAGUUUAAUUUUUUAAAACAGAUAUAACUUGUGUAUAAGCACCUGAAGGUUCUUAAUGGUCUUCAGUGCCUUCAGAUGCUGAUUCCAUGCUGAUCUUUUUGAAAACACUGAAGUUUAUGGUUGCAAACUGUAAUCUUAGCUUUUAAAAAUGGAAUCAAAGAAGUUCGUAUUAAGUUUUGUUCCUUUACGUGAGUAUGUUAUGUGCAAUUCCUGUUGCUUUCCUCACAGAAAAGGUAAAAUGUCUCCUGUUGACUCACAGAAGUAGGGGGAGCCAGGCAAGGGGUUCACUGGGGUGUAAGGCAGAGAGGUUUGAUGUGUUCCUGCAAAAAGAAGCAACGCGAUAAGGGCCAAUGGUGAGAGACUUCUCUGAGGUGUUUCCCAUUUAAGUGCUGUGCUGAACGACAAGGUAGUUUCCUUUGAGCCACAUGUUGUCUACGUGUGCUAAAAUGGCAGUUCCUUAAGGUAAAACAUGGCGUUGCUUACAGCAGCUUUUUUCUUUUCGUGGUAAUAGAGUAAAACUCAAGAAUUAAACAGAAGAAAUGAGCUUGAAAUAGAAAGAUGUACAAUGUAGAAUACACCUUGUAACAAGUUUGUUGUACUGUUCAGGCCUAGGAAAAAUAGGUAAAGCGUUAACAGUACCUUCAGGAACGUGGAGGUGUGGCACAGAGGGACGUGCCUCAGGUGUGCGGUGGGGGUGGGUUGAAGUUGGACUAGAAGAUCUGAGGGGUCUUUCCCAGCCUUAAUGAUUCUGUGAUUGCUACAGCUGUGUUAUGGUAAAAGAUUCAGCCUAUAACUUGAACUUAUUUUGUCUGAUCUUACACGUUAGAUAAAUGGUCCUCGAACACAAUCAGCAGAUGAAUCGGUGAUGUUUUUCCUCUCUUUAACCCAAACAGAGAAAACAAGCCUGGAUGUGCAGCUUUUCCUGUUUAAAAAUUUCAUCGUGGUGCGCUGGCACUGCUCUGACUGAUCUUCUCACUCCUGGGGAUUCCUCUUUGGUAUCUCUCCUUUCGGUCCAGACUGAAGCAAUGACCUCCUCUACUUAUUCAGUGCCUUACAUUCAUCUAUUACUGUUGGUUGCUGAGUAUUCUCAAGGACAGGAAGCUCAACUAAAUAGUUCACAUCUACUGCACUGCGAUGCUGAGAAUAUGUCUUUAUUAGAUAUAAAGCACAGCGUAGCAUCAACACUGAGCAACUUGAGACUCUACCAACACAUUCCCCAUCUUCCCAAGCCAACCUGCCCCUUGCCAGCAUACCAAUCCUUGGUCUGGGCUCACUCCUGA